AUGCGGUGCCAAGGCCACCGUUGUGCUGCCUUUGGGGCUUGCCCACACUGCAGCACCUGCUUCCUGGGCAAGCAGAGGGACCUUGGCAGAGUCCCUCUGCUUCUGCUUCUGCUCCCUGGAGACCCCUGGGUGCUCCAUCACAAAGCAUAUUCCUGUUGCCAUAUCUCCAUCACCAUGGUGAUGAUGAUGCUGAGCCAGGAACAGUGUGUGCCUCAGCUCACUGCAGUCUGCAGCAGUGGGCCAGGAGAAGUGGAGCAGGACAAGACCCUGACAGACUUCCUGAUGAAAAUCUUUAUGGCCUUGGUAUAUCUGCUGAACCUAGGAACAAAGAUGGAAAAACAUAGCAACUCCACUGAGCUGAACAGCAUGCAGAGAAUGAUUUAAGCACUACUAAAAUAUAGAUAUAAACAGAAGCUCAGGAAAUGAAGCACGAUUGGUCACAUGGGAAAUACAAAGCACUCAGUUGUGACCACAAAGCACCAGUGACUUAUUUCAAACCUGUGAAAUGCACCUGACAGACAGGAACAUGGUGAGAACCAAGGCUCGAGCGCACAAGGAAGUUUUCUCAAAGACCCUGAAACAUCCAGGUGCAGUUGUACUUGCUCAGUAAAG
RNAcentral lists this long non-coding RNA (612 nucleotides) under Anas platyrhynchos platyrhynchos (common mallard). Its description in RNAcentral is "lncRNA (ENSAPLG00000029346.1)". The record is from RNAcentral. Lineage: Eukaryota; Metazoa; Chordata; Aves; Anseriformes; Anatidae.